Molecule: small nucleolar RNA, 128 nt
Organism: Syngnathus acus (greater pipefish)
Lineage: Eukaryota; Metazoa; Chordata; Actinopteri; Syngnathiformes; Syngnathidae
Product: small nucleolar RNA SNORA17
Exons: 1
Source: RefSeq, a predicted model, not a curated record
GAUGCCCCUUGAGGCGUUGCGGUGCAGCAGUCGGUGUUGCCAUCGUGUCAGAAGGCGGCAGAGAGCAAAGGCGGUUAUUUGCGCCGAGUCGACAACGGUGACGACUCAGCGUUUUUUCGACCGACUGC